This 458-nucleotide ribosomal RNA is filed under the name uncultured bacterium. RNAcentral describes it as "bacterial SSU rRNA". It matches the Rfam family "Bacterial small subunit ribosomal RNA", at positions 36 to 507 of the family's 1533-position model. The record is from RNAcentral.
CUGGCGGCGUGCCUAACACAUGCAAGUCGAACGGAGUAAAGAGCUUCGGUUUUUUACUUAGUGGCGAACGGGUGAGUAACGCGUGAGAAACCUGCCUUUCAGUGGGGGACAACAGUUGGAAACGACUGCUAAUACCGCAUAAUGUUAUUUGGGGGCAUCCUUGAAUAACCAAAGCUUUAUGUGCUGAAAGAUGGUCUCGCGUCUGAUUAGCUAGUUGGUGAGGUAACGGCUCACCAAGGCGACGAUCAGUAGCCGGUCUGAGAGGAUGAACGGCCACAUUGGGACUGAGAUACGGCCCAGACUCCUACGGGAGGCAGCAGUGGGGAAUAUUGGGCAAUGGGGGAAACCCUGACCCAGCAACGCCGCGUGAAGGAAGAAGGCUUUCGGGUUGUAAACUUCUUUUAGCAGGGACGAAGAACGUGACGGUACCUGCAGAAAAAGCAACGGCUAACUACGUG